RNAcentral lists this ribosomal RNA (491 nucleotides) under uncultured bacterium. RNAcentral's name for it is "partial 16S ribosomal RNA". It matches the Rfam family "Bacterial small subunit ribosomal RNA", at positions 27 to 507 of the family's 1533-position model. The record is from RNAcentral.
GAUUGAACGCUGGCGGCAGGCCUAACCCAUGCAAGUCGAACGGUAACAGGAAGAAGCUUGCUUCUUUGCUGACGAGUGGCGGACGGGUGAGUAAUGUCUGGGAAACUGCCUGAUGGAGGGGGAUAACUACUGGAAACGGUAGCUAAUACCGCAUAACGUCGCAAGACCAAAGAGGGGGACCUUCGGGCCUCUUGCCAUCGGAUGUGCCCAGAUGGGAUUAGCUAGUAGGUGGGGUAACGGCUCACCUAGGCGACGAUCCCUAGCUGGUCUGAGAGGAUGACCAGCCACACUGGAACUGAGACACGGUCCAGACUCCUACGGGAGGCAGCAGUGGGGAAUAUUGCACAAUGGGCGCAAGCCUGAUGCAGCCAUGCCGCGUGUAUGAAGAAGGCCUUCGGGUUGUAAAGUACUUUCAGCGGGGAGGAAGGGAGUAAAGUUAAUACCUUGACUCAUUGACGUUACCCGCAGAAGAAGCACCGGCUAACUCCGUG